UUAAGUGACUAAGCGUACACGGUGGAUGCCCUGGCAGUCAGAGGCGAUGAAGGACGUGCUAAUCUGCGAUAAGCGUCGGUAAGGUGAUAUGAACCGUUAUAACCGGCGAUUUCCGAAUGGGGAAACCCAGUGUGAUUCGUCACACUAUCAUUAACUGAAUCCAUAGGUUAAUGAGGCGAACCGGGGGAACUGAAACAUCUAAGUACCCCGAGGAAAAGAAAUCAACCGAGAUUCCCCCAGUAGCGGCGAGCGAACGGGGAGGAGCCCAGAGCCUGAAUCAGUGUGUGUGUUAGUGGAAGCGUCUGGAAAGGCGCGCGAUACAGGGUGACAGCCCCGUACACAAAAAUGCACAUGCUGUGAGCUCGAUGAGUAGGGCGGGACACGUGGUAUCCUGUCUGAAUAUGGGGGGACCAUCCUCCAAGGCUAAAUACUCCUGACUGACCGAUAGUGAACCAGUACCGUGAGGGAAAGGCGAAAAGAACCCCGGCGAGGGGAGUGAAAAAGAACCUGAAACCGUGUACGUACAAGCAGUGGGAGCACAGAGCAAUCUGUGUGACUGCGUACCUUUUGUAUAAUGGGUCAGCGACUUAUAUUCUGUAGCAAGGUUAACCGAAUAGGGGAGCCGAAGGGAAACCGAGUCUUAACUGGGCGUUAAGUUGCAGGGUAUAGACCCGAAACCCGGUGAUCUAGCCAUGGGCAGGUUGAAGGUUGGGUAACACUAACUGGAGGACCGAACCGACUAAUGUUGAAAAAUUAGCGGAUGACUUGUGGCUGGGGGUGAAAGGCCAAUCAAACCGGGAGAUAGCUGGUUCUCCCCGAAAGCUAUUUAGGUAGCGCCUCGUGAAUUCAUCUCCGGGGGUAGAGCACUGUUUCGGCAAGGGGGUCAUCCCGACUUACCAACCCGAUGCAAACUGCGAAUACCGGAGAAUGUUAUCACGGGAGACACACGGCGGGUGCUAACGUCCGUCGUGAAGAGGGAAACAACCCAGACCGCCAGCUAAGGUCCCAAAGUCAUGGUUAAGUGGGAAACGAUGUGGGAAGGCCCAGACAGCCAGGAUGUUGGCUUAGAAGCAGCCAUCAUUUAAAGAAAGCGUAAUAGCUCACUGGUCGAGUCGGCCUGCGCGGAAGAUGUAACGGGGCUAAACCAUGCACCGAAGCUGCGGCAGCGACACUAUGUGUUGUUGGGUAGGGGAGCGUUCUGUAAGCCUGUGAAGGUGUGCUGUGAGGCAUGCUGGAGGUAUCAGAAGUGCGAAUGCUGACAUAAGUAACGAUAAAGCGGGUGAAAAGCCCGCUCGCCGGAAGACCAAGGGUUCCUGUCCAACGUUAAUCGGGGCAGGGUGAGUCGACCCCUAAGGCGAGGCCGAAAGGCGUAGUCGAUGGGAAACAGGUUAAUAUUCCUGUACUUGGUGUUACUGCGAAGGGGGGACGGAGAAGGCUAUGUUGGCCGGGCGACGGUUGUCCCGGUUUAAGCGUGUAGGCUGGUUUUCCAGGCAAAUCCGGAAAAUCAAGGCUGAGGCGUGAUGACGAGGCACUACGGUGCUGAAGCAACAAAUGCCCUGCUUCCAGGAAAAGCCUCUAAGCAUCAGGUAACAUCAAAUCGUACCCCAAACCGACACAGGUGGUCAGGUAGAGAAUACCAAGGCGCUUGAGAGAACUCGGGUGAAGGAACUAGGCAAAAUGGUGCCGUAACUUCGGGAGAAGGCACGCUGAUAUGUAGGUGAAGCGACUUGCUCGUGGAGCUGAAAUCAGUCGAAGAUACCAGCUGGCUGCAACUGUUUAUUAAAAACACAGCACUGUGCAAACACGAAAGUGGACGUAUACGGUGUGACGCCUGCCCGGUGCCGGAAGGUUAAUUGAUGGGGUCAGCGCAAGCGAAGCUCUUGAUCGAAGCCCCGGUAAACGGCGGCCGUAACUAUAACGGUCCUAAGGUAGCGAAAUUCCUUGUCGGGUAAGUUCCGACCUGCACGAAUGGCGUAAUGAUGGCCAGGCUGUCUCCACCCGAGACUCAGUGAAAUUGAACUCGCUGUGAAGAUGCAGUGUACCCGCGGCAAGACGGAAAGACCCCGUGAACCUUUACUAUAGCUUGACACUGAACAUUGAGCCUUGAUGUGUAGGAUAGGUGGGAGGCUUUGAAGUGUGGACGCCAGUCUGCAUGGAGCCGACCUUGAAAUACCACCCUUUAAUGUUUGAUGUUCUAACGUUGACCCGUAAUCCGGGUUGCGGACAGUGUCUGGUGGGUAGUUUGACUGGGGCGGUCUCCUCCUAAAGAGUAACGGAGGAGCACGAAGGUUGGCUAAUCCUGGUCGGACAUCAGGAGGUUAGUGCAAUGGCAUAAGCCAGCUUGACUGCGAGCGUGACGGCGCGAGCAGGUGCGAAAGCAGGUCAUAGUGAUCCGGUGGUUCUGAAUGGAAGGGCCAUCGCUCAACGGAUAAAAGGUACUCCGGGGAUAACAGGCUGAUACCGCCCAAGAGUUCAUAUCGACGGCGGUGUUUGGCACCUCGAUGUCGGCUCAUCACAUCCUGGGGCUGAAGUAGGUCCCAAGGGUAUGGCUGUUCGCCAUUUAAAGUGGUACGCGAGCUGGGUUUAGAACGUCGUGAGACAGUUCGGUCCCUAUCUGCCGUGGGCGCUGGAGAACUGAGGGGGGCUGCUCCUAGUACGAGAGGACCGGAGUGGACGCAUCACUGGUGUUCGGGUUGUCAUGCCAAUGGCACUGCCCGGUAGCUAAAUGCGGAAGAGAUAAGUGCUGAAAGCAUCUAAGCACGAAACUUGCCCCGAGAUGAGUUCUCCCUGACUCCUUGAGAGUCCUGAAGGAACGUUGAAGACGACGACGUUGAUAGGCCGGGUGUGUAAGCGCAGCGAUGCGUUGAGCUAACCGGUACUAAUGAACCGUGAGGCUUAACCUU
This 2903-nucleotide ribosomal RNA is filed under the name Escherichia coli. RNAcentral's name for it is "bacterial LSU rRNA". It matches the Rfam family "Bacterial large subunit ribosomal RNA". The record is from RNAcentral. Lineage: Bacteria; Pseudomonadati; Pseudomonadota; Gammaproteobacteria; Enterobacterales; Enterobacteriaceae.